This 254-nucleotide long non-coding RNA is filed under the name Lepisosteus oculatus (spotted gar). Its description in RNAcentral is "lncRNA (ENSLOCG00000021891.1)". Lineage: Eukaryota; Metazoa; Chordata; Actinopteri; Semionotiformes; Lepisosteidae. The record is from RNAcentral.
GCUUGAAGUGCUGCUUCCAGCCCAAGCUUUGUUAUGUGGGGGUUCCAUUGUAGCAGCUGGGCUGUAAAUUAAGAUUCUUUAGAGAGAAAUCGGCAACAUUGAGGAAGAUGGCCGAGAGGAGAUUGUACUUUUAUGAGAUUGCCCAAACCACCCUUUGAUUAUCCAGUUCAUCCUGACGAAACAAGGUGAGGCCUAGUAAUGCCGAAAAGAAAACUGCUUCACGUAACCAAAUGUUAAAACGUCAUGGGCUUUAU